This 326-nucleotide ribosomal RNA is filed under the name uncultured eukaryote. RNAcentral's name for it is "partial 18S ribosomal RNA". It matches the Rfam family "Eukaryotic small subunit ribosomal RNA", at positions 1470 to 1796 of the family's 1831-position model. The record is from RNAcentral.
CCCUUAGAUGUUCUGGGCCGCACGCGCGCUACACUGAAUGGAUCAACGUGUUUUCCCUUCCCGAGAGGGACGGGUAACCCGCUGAACCCCAUUCGUGGUAGGGAUCGGAGCUUGCAAUUGUUCUCCGUGAACCAGGAAUUCCCAGUAAGCGCAAGUCAUCAGCUUGCAUUGAUUACGUCCCUGCCCUUUGUACACACCGCCCGUCGCACCUACCGAUUGAAUGGUCCGGUGAAAUCUUCGGAUCUGAGAGAUGUCUGAUUAAUUUCGGACGCCUUUUGGAAAAGUUGCUUAAACCUUACCAUUUAGAGGAAGGUGAAGUCGUAACA